RNAcentral lists this long non-coding RNA (1900 nucleotides) under Piliocolobus tephrosceles (Ugandan red Colobus). Its description in RNAcentral is "lncRNA (ENSPTEG00000018082.1)". The record is from RNAcentral. Lineage: Eukaryota; Metazoa; Chordata; Mammalia; Primates; Cercopithecidae.
AAAAAAAAAAAAAAAAAAAACCAAGGUCACAUAAUAUCCACAUAAAUAAAUAUAUAGUUCUACAAGUAUAAUACAUAUUAUCGAAUCGAGCAAUACUUAUGAGCAUUGCAAAAAAACUGUAGUAAAAGUAGUAACGACAAGAAGAACAAUAACAAUAAUGCAAACUAGAACUGUGUUGGAACUGUAUAGCGGAAUAGGUGGUUUACAUUACAGCGUAUUACAAGCUUUCAUAAAUUAUCUUAAUGAAUCACAAUAUAAUGAUUUUAAUAUAACAGAUAAAAAAACGAACAUUCAUAAAAUAUGUGAAGAAGAACAAAAUAUAAAUGACAUAGUCAAUAAAACGGAUACUCCUAUGACCAACACAUUUGAAAAUGCAUUUCAGUUUUUUUCACUCGACCUCAACCCGAAUGCUAAUGAAACAUAUUAUCAUAAUUUUAAAGAGAACUGCAUUUAUUUGAAUGACAAAAAAAGUAUUAAUAUUUUUUUUAAAAACAUAUGUAUGGACAAGUUAUAUAAACAAAAAAAGAACAUUUUUGAUUUGAAUAGAGAAAAUGAGGAUGUAUGUUACAACGCUAAAGGAAUUGAUAAUGUUCAUACUAGUGCUGAUACAACUAAUUCUGAUAAUAACAAAAAUUAUAUAAUCCAAAUGGACAUAAAUAAUCUAACUGUUGAUUUUUUUGAACACCAUAAGUUUUAUAUGUUAUUAAUGUCAAAUCCGUGCCAACCAUACACAAGGCUCAACCAUAAAUUUAAACAGAUCGAUUUAAAUUUGUUGUUUUCGGAGUACAGUAUUGGAGAAAAAUGUAUAGAAAGCUCAGAUCAAAAGGACGUAAUACAAAAAAAUGUAAAAAAAACGGAUUAUAUUACUGCUACCUCAAUAAAUAACAGCAACAAAAAAAUAGACGAGAAAAACACUAAAAAUAACCUUUAUCAUGUUAACAACUUAAAUAUAGAAAAAGCAGUAAAAUUUUUAAACAAAGAAAAAGAUACUAGAUCAAAUAGUUUUAUACAUGUUUGUAAUUUGUUACAAAAUAUAAAAAAAGAAAAUUUACCUGAAUAUAUAUUUAUUGAAAAUGUAAAAAACUUUGAAAUAUCAUAUUCUUUUUUAUAUUUUUUAAAUUCAAUAAAAAGCAAUUACAAUUUUAAAACAUACCUUCUUUCACCUUUACAAUUUGGUAUACCUAAUGAACGGCUUCGAUUUUAUUGUAUAUGCAAAAAAAAAAAAAAAGAGAAAGACGUUUUUUCAAAAUCUACAAUAAACAAAAAAAAAAUAUAUACAUCUGCUCAAAUAGCAGGUUUAUAUAACAACUCACUAAAACCGACCACUUUUUUAUCAUUCAAAAAUAUAUUAAAAAAAAAAGAAGCCACUUUUUAUACGCCAAGUUUAAUUACCUAUUUGGAUCAGAAUGAACAUUAUGUCAUACCUUGUUACAGUUUAAAAAAUAUAAAUAUGUAUAAUAACAAAUUAAAUAAUUUUGAAAUAAAAAAAAUUGAAUUGGAAAAAAGUUCAGCUUAUUGUUAUGAUAUUUUUGAUGUCAACAGAAAUGGACACAUUUGUUGUUUUAACUCGAAUGAUUAUUAUAGUAAUAAAAAUUAUUUUUUAAGUACUUUUAUUUUGAAUAAUAAAAAUAUGCAAAAAAUAAAUGAACAAAAACUACAUGUAAUGUGCUUUACUUCGAAUUAUGGUAGAUAUAUAAAAGGUGCUGGUUCUAUAUUAUAUUUUUCGAAUAAUCAAAAUGACAUAACAAAAAAAGAAAAAACAGUUCUGCAUCCACAUGAUUUUAUGAUUCGAAAGGAUGUUAAUAUGUUGACAACAUCUCCUAAUUGGAAAAUGUCCAUAACAAAUGGUUCCUAUAGUAAAAGUACUACCAGCGGAAGCAGUGACAAUAGCAAUGUAAUA